Topomyia yanbarensis is the source of this 3549-nucleotide long non-coding RNA. RefSeq lists it as uncharacterized. NCBI's taxonomy places the organism in Eukaryota, Metazoa, Arthropoda, Insecta, Diptera, Culicidae. The transcript has 7 exons. The record is from RefSeq and is a predicted model, not a curated record.
AAAACACAAGAUUAGAAUUUUUUGUAUUUUUUUUCAUCGCGACCUGUCAAAAUUUUGUAGUUUUGAGAAUCAAUAUUUUGAAUUUGAAUGCACACCCGAACAAAGCAGCCACAAGAGCAGCAUUUUUCGUCAGCAGCAGAAGCAGCAGCCAUCUAUCUACUUGAUAAGUUUUCAUCAACAACAACCAGAUGCUACAAAUCAGCUCAACUUGACUCAACAUCCUGGAUCUGGCAAUCAGCCAACCAACAUUAAAUCGAUACAACCGUAGCAGUACCAACAACUCCAAAUCCAGCAGCUGCCAACAAUCUCUCAAAAAAGAACCACAGCAAUUACAGCUCAGAACCAACAAAGCAACAAGAGCUUUUUUUACGAAUAAUGGACCCAACGGACACACUUUAUCGGCACAUUCUGUCGUAAAACUUGCCUGCCACUAUUCUUACCAGCGGUUACCUUCCUGAUGUAGAGAAAUCAGAGUCAAACACAAACGUCAUAUUACUGCCUUGGCUCCUACCAGUUGCUUGCAUGAAAAGAUCGCUGCCUCCACAGUGCUCGUAAUUCCAUCCCAGCAGCAGCUAGCAACCACAAUUCCAGUGCUUAUCGCCAGCAACAUCAGAAAAUUAAGAUUUUCCCUAGACCAUGACCAUCAUCCGACAGAUCGGUAGCAACAACGUUCAACUGACGGUAGAACCUGGCCAGCAACCGCAACUAGUGCAAUCGAUCCAAGCCAAUGAGGGCCAAAUGUAGAAGACCAUUGGUCAACCGCAAAAAAAAGAUACAUCAACAGCACCUUCAAACACAGUAGCAGCAGCAUACUGUACUGUACCACGCCGCGCGCAGGAGGACUUUUUUAUUCAGUUGGUGCAGCAAGAUCGAACAGCAACCAUAGCGGAUACACAUCACCGAACACCAGCAACAUAAUGCCAUGGUAACCACCCAGCAGCAGAACACGGCGAUAAUGGGCCAACAGUAAAUACAACAUCAAGAUCCUCGGAAAGGACUUUCUCUUUCGAACAAACAUAAUGGAAGCAUACUCUACACGCACGACAUAUUCAAUCGGGCCAACCGUGUGACUCGUUUGGAAAAAAGCGCUCAUCAUCGGUUUCAUGGCAGCGAAGUGAGCAGACAAAAGAAGGCGUUUUUUCCGCAAGGUCGCUCUGGGCAAAAGUUCAGCCAAUUGCAAGGAAUAAACCACCGGAGUGACAGUAUCCGUGCUGUUUAGGACCUUUUUCCAUAUAUUGUAGCUUUUGAAUUUUAAUACCCGGUCGAAACGAUGGCAAGUGCUGCCGAUAACUGGGUCAAAAAGGCGGAGGGAGGAUCAGGAAAUUUCUGCACUCGGUUUUGAAUUUUUCUUUUCAAUGCAAAUAGGUUAUGGAUCUGAGUAUCCCUAAGGAUAAGGAACCAGAGCCGGCGGCUGACAGCCCAAAGAAAGAGAAUGCGGAAAAACCUUCUAGUUCACCGCCAGUACAACCAGCGAUCAAAUUACUCCCGUAGAAACGGCUGCACCUGCAGUUUUGUUUUCGGUAGCUACAGAAAUUAAGACUUUAGCAGCUCCUGAAGAAAAAAAAACUGCUAGCGAAAAUGGAGAAACAGCUUCCUCCACGGAAGAUGCAGAGGCAUUCAACCCGGCGGAUGCAAGUUUGCUAAUUAAACUUAUUCGCAAAGGUCUAGUAGAAUCAAAGCUGGAUCUGGGGGUGAAGGAUCCUUCUUCGCCGCUAUACUUGGUUAAAACUUUCGAAGCUUUGCACAUGAAUUCGGAACUGCUUCAGGGAGUCUAUGCUAUGGGUUUCAACGCUCCUUCCAAGAUUCAGAAGACGGCUCAACCUACUCUGUUGGCCGAUCCGCCACAGAACAUAAUCGCCCAGAGUUGGUCGGGAACAAGAAAAACCACCGCCUUCGUGCUGGCAAUGCUCAAUCGAGUCGAUCCGUUGAAAAACUAUCCGCAGGUGAUUUGCCUUUCCCCACGUAUGAACUGGCAAUUCAGAAGGGGAAAGUAGCUGCAAAACGGCAAAGUUUUGUGCGGAAAUCGAACUUGGUUAAACCGUUCGCGGUGAGAAGAUCGUCAAAGGGGCGAAGCUGACUAAUCAUAUCAUCAUCGGAACAGCCGGGCGUUCGACCUUAAGAAGAUUGCAAUUUUUGUACCGGAUGAGGCGGGCGUUAUGAUCGCUGUUCUUUUUAGCCACGUACGAGCGGGAGGUGAUGGGAUUCGCCCAGUACAUCGUAACCAAUCCGAUCAUGAUUCUUCUAGUGCGGGAGCAAAAAUCACUCGAUAACACCAAACACUACUACGUCAAAUGCCGCAACCAGGACGAGAAAUAUCAAGCAAUUUCAAACAUGUACGGUGUGAUUACCGUCGGACAAGCGAUCAUUUUCUGUCAUAUGAUGUAUAGGACAGUUGCAAACUCCAAGUCAACUUAUUUUCGGCAUUGUUAAUCGAUCGAAACAGGCACGCAAAACGGCCGGUUGGACCAGGAUAAUCACUCAGUAGCGGUAUUGUCCGGUGAUCUAACGGCGGAGCAACGGUUGGCCGUUCUGGAUCGAUCCUGAGCCGGACUAGAGAAGGUAUUGAUUGCAACGAACGUUUUGUCUAGGGGUAUCGAUGUUGCACAGGUGACCAUUGUCAUCAACUUCGACCUGCCGAUGGAUUAGCAGGGACGAGCCGAUUGCGAAACACUUCCGGAAAAAGACCAGCUACUGGUGAUAGGCAUAGGAGCUUUUUGGGUCAUACUUGUUAUGAUUCUGAAUUUAUAAUUUUAUUAUUUUUUUUUUCUUCCUUGACCUGACAUAUGUAACCAACAGGGUAAUAAAUUUACAAUUAAAAUUACAAUUUAUCUCUACCCAGUUCUAUCCAAACAUUUGAAAAGGGCCUAACUGCAAAAUGUAACAAAUUGAAAUUUCAUGUUUUCCAUUAACAAAUAUCUACCCGAGCACGUACAUAACGCAACAUUUGAUCAUGAAGAAUUUUGAUAGCGAUUUUACAACAAUUAAUAAAAGGGCCUAAUUGAUUUUUAUGACCGAACUGAUUAUGAAAGGACCUAACUGAUUGAAAAGUGCCUAACUAGAAAUACACUCGUUUUAAAUGGAUUAUAACGUAUUAUUGUAUUAUGACUGAUUGUAAAAGGGUUAUAACAUCUUUUCCAUAAUUUACAUACAGGGUCAAUCUGACCAUCAAAUUAGAAUUCAGUUAAUUCACACAUGGGACAAUUAUGCUUCUUGUGGCAGUAAUGCAAGUAGUAGCAAUAUGCGCAAUUCCUUAAACCUCUCUAGUGUUUCAUGCAAUAAGAAUUACCACGAAUUACUUAUGGCAAUAAAUUUGAACUACGAUUCUCACAAUUGUUAUACCAAAAAUAGGUUUGUAUCCGUACUGAUUAUUGGUAGCAUUCCCUGAGACUUUCAGAACAUUUAGUAGUAGCCAUUGUUAUCAUAAUCGAUUUUUAACGUCAGCCAAAGUUUAAAGCCUAGGGUUUGGUUCGACCUGAAACCGAUUGAGUCGGAGUCGGUUGUUAUAUUUGCGUUAUAUUUCCGGAUUCCGAAGCGUGUUUCGAAAGGUAG